This 245-nucleotide unclassified non-coding RNA is filed under the name Paraphoma chrysanthemicola. Its description in RNAcentral is "partial internal transcribed spacer region". The stretch from base 1 to 46 matches the Rfam family "Eukaryotic small subunit ribosomal RNA", at positions 1786 to 1831 of the family's 1831-position model. RNAcentral also lists the same sequence under 1 other name. The record is from RNAcentral. Lineage: Eukaryota; Fungi; Ascomycota; Dothideomycetes; Pleosporales; Phaeosphaeriaceae.
AAGUCGUAACAAGGUUUCCGUAGGUGAACCUGCGGAAGGAUCAUUACCUUUCAAUGCAGCAGAAUUGUGAUGGUUGAGUAUCUCGCCUUUCAGUUCUGCUUGUAUUCUACCCUUGUUUGUCAUAUACAUUAUUUCCUCGGCAGGCUUGCCUGCCGAGUGAAACCAAUUAUAACCUAUUUAAUUUUCAAUCAGCGUCUGAAAAUAAUUAAUAAUUACAACUUUCAACAACGGAUCUCUUGGUUCUG